CAGCAGCGGCCGCUGGCCCCGAGGCGGAUGUGUACUGCCGGAGAGGCGAUUUGGCUCUGCCAGCCUCACAGCCUCUUCCUGCCUGGGUGACGUCAUCCGCACUGCCCUCAAGCGUGAAGCAGGUUUUUCCUCCCUGGGCUUGUACAAUCCUGCAAAAUGAUCCACAUGGGCAGAUCCUUACACCUGCAUAGACUCAUUCCAUGCACAUGAAACGGCUUGCAAUCUUCAGCCAUUGGAGUAAUGAGAAUCUGAGUUUCCUUAAAACAAAUGAAAAUGACUAGCCCUCAUGGAUUCAGGGAAAAGCUGGAAAAUGUGACCCGAGUGUCGCCUAAAGGUUCAAAAACCAGAAGACAGGACAAAGAAUUCCAAAUGUAUCAUAAUUUAAAAUAUCAUGAUUUUUAAGGUAAUCUUGUGAUUUAUUGGGGCCUGACACUUGAUUUUUUAACAGUUGGGGGUUUAGUAAUACCGAUGUUAUGACAAUAAUUCAGUAAGUUCCCUUAGCCAUUCAAUCAUUCUCCCAUAUUUCCCCAUCACCUCUCCUGCCUGCUCCUCUCUACCCUGCAUGGGAGAAAAGGGGGCCUUUUAUAGAUCAUUGACUGGGAGGUGGGAGACAGAAGCAACUAUCCCAAGUGGUUGACUGGAGGCAGGGAAGUAGAAACCCUUGUUUUCCUUAUUGCCUUUGGCAUGACACUUUCCCUGGCAGGCACUGGGCAGCAGAAGCCAGGAAUGAGAGAUCUGUGGGCUCAUUGCCUCAUUGGGCAACUGAGGGGAAAAAAUGGAAGAAACUUUUGCCCACCAAUGCAGCCACCUUUAUGAUGGAAUUUGGCAUCCAGGGGUUUUGACAAGGUAGCUGAAGAAUCACUUUUAAAACUGAAACUAUAUACUUCCCUAUAUAUUUUGUGGCCAUAUUUGAUAAUUCUUCCUGUUAAAUAAUGGCAUAUUAUCCAGGAUUCCAUAUUUCUGUGUGCUCCUCUCAAUCCCUUGGACAGUUACUGCGGGGGAUUUAGUAGGAAUAAUUGUCAUUUCUAUA
Chrysemys picta bellii (western painted turtle) is the source of this 1030-nucleotide long non-coding RNA. RefSeq lists it as uncharacterized. The record is from RefSeq and is a predicted model, not a curated record. NCBI's taxonomy places the organism in Eukaryota, Metazoa, Chordata, Testudines, Emydidae.